CCAGCACACCCCCCUUUAAAUACUUAGGGAUAGGUUGCCUUCAAGAAUUAUUCGUGCCCCUUCCACACGCCAUCUCGCAUCCAUCAGAAAAUCUCACACCUCCUGAUAAAUUCUCAUGCCCAUCUAAAAUAUUUUGACACAUGACAAUCAUCGAGAAAAAAUUCAAGAGACGCUUCACGUAGAAGGACUCUUCAGAAUAUUUUUCUCGAUG
RNAcentral lists this long non-coding RNA (211 nucleotides) under Elaeis guineensis (African oil palm). RNAcentral describes it as "long non-coding RNA (EGUI_LNC063231)". Lineage: Eukaryota; Viridiplantae; Streptophyta; Magnoliopsida; Arecales; Arecaceae. The record is from RNAcentral.